AUGGAGAAGGUCGACUGCUACGUCGUGCCGCAGACCACGGGCACCGGCCGGAACAUCUUCCAGGGCGGCAGCCCGCUGUCGUCGUCGCUGCCCCUCCUCGGCGUGCAGCUCGUCCUCAUCGUCGUCGUCACCCGUGUCCUCUACCUCCUCUGCAAGCCGCUCAAGCAGCCCCGCGUCGUGACCGAUAUCAUGGGCGGCAUUAUACUCGGCCCGUCGCUGCUGUGUCGCUACGAGUGGUUCAAGCAGCUGGUGUUCCCGGCGAGGGGGGAGCCGGUGCUGAACACGGUGGCCACGUUCGGCCUCAUGUACGUCAUCUUCCUCAUCGGCGUGCGGAUGGACCCGAUGCAGGCCCUCCGGUCCGGCAAGAAGGGCGUCACGAUCGGCCUCUCCGGCUUCCUCAUCGCGCUGGGCCUGACGGCGGCGGGAUUUUCCGGCGACGCUCUGUCCAAGGAGGAGGAUCACAUGUCGACGCGGCUCACGUUCCAGUUCGCGCUCGCGGCCACGCUCUCGCUCACGUCCUUCGCGGUGCUCUCGCCGAUCCUGUCCGAGCUCAGCCUCCUCAACUCGGACCUCGGCCGCAUCGCCAUGUCGGCGUCCAUGACCACGGACGGCAUCGCAUGGCUCAUCAUGGUGGGCUACGUGCUCGCCGAGGCCUACCUCGUGUCCCCCGCCACGUCGCUCUGGGCCUUCAUGUCGGUGGCGGCGCUCGUCGCCUUCAUACUGCUGGUCGUGCGCCCGAUCGCGCUCCUGGUGAUCGAGCGCACGCCGGCGGGCAGCCCGGUGGACGAGGCGUACGUCUUCUUCUUCCUCCUCAUCGUGCUCCUGGUGGGGCUGUACAGCGACAUCAUCGGCACCAACUCGUUCCACGGCGCGCUCAUGCUGGGGCUGGCCAUCCCCGACGGGCCGCCGCUGGGCACGGCGCUCGGCGAGAAGAUCGAGGCCAUGGUGACCGGGCUGAUCCUGCCGCUCUACUACACCAUGACCGGGCUGAGCACCGACAUGUGGGAGAUACACUGGGGGAGGCUGCAGCUGAUCCUGCUCCUUGGGUGGUUCGGGAAGCUCGCCGGCGUCCUGGCGUCGUCGCUGUGCCUUGACAUCCCGCCGCUGGACGCCGUGUCUCUCAGCCUCUUCAUGAACUCCAAGGGCAUCGUCGAGGUCAUCACCUUCAGCUUCUUCGUCACCAACAAGCUGAUCGACAAGCACAUGUUCAGCGCGCUGGUGUUCUCGUCGGUGGUGAUCACGGCAGUGUCGGUGCCGGUGGCGAGCUGUCUGUACGACCCGGCGCGGCGCUACGCCGUGUACAAGCGGCGCACGGUGCAGCACCUCAAGGCGGACGCCGACCUGCGGAUCCUGGCGUGCAUCCACGACGAGUCCCACGUCCAGGGCACGCUCUCGCUGCUGGAGGCGUCGCACGCCACGCCGCAGACGCCCGUCGCCCUCUUCCUCCUCCAGCUCGUCGAGAUCGCCGGCCGCUCCGCGCCGGUGUUCAUACCCCACAAGCUCCGCCGGAGCGCCUCGUCCAGGAUCGGCCCGACGUCGUCGGCCGGCGCGCCGUCCACCGACUCGGACCGCAUCAUCAACGCCUUCCUCCAGUACGAGCAGCGGCACCCGGAGGGCGCCGUGUCCAUGCAGUCCUUCACCACCAUCUCCCCCUACUCGUCCAUGCACGACGAGGUGUGCCGCCUCGCCGUCGACAAGCGCACGUCGCUCAUCCUCCUCCACUACCACAAGCGGCACAUGCUGGCCGGCGGCAUGCGCGCCGCCAUGGGGCUCCGCGUGGUGAACCGCAAGGUGCUGGAGGUGGCGCCGUGCUCCGUGGGGGUCUUCGUGGACCGCAACGCCGGGAGCGUGGGCCUGAGCGCCUUCAUCAUGCAGGACCAUCCGCCGUCGUCCGGCGGCCGCCUCGGCUUCCACGCGGCCGUGGCAGCGCUCUUCUUCGGCGGCGGCGACGACCGCGAGGCCCUGGCGUACGUGACGCGCAUGGCGCGGCACCCGGGGUCGAGGGCGGCGGUGAUCCGGUUCCUGCCGACCCGGGGCAUCAAGGACGACCCGGCGGACCGGCGGGUGGACAACAAGGCCAUCGAGGAGGUGAAGGCGCUGGCGGCGCGGAGCAAGUACAUGAACCUGCAGGUGCAGGAGGAGCUGGUGGGCGACAUGGAGAAGAUCGUGGAGGUGCUGAGGGGGCUCGACAAGGCCGGCUACGACCUCGUCAUCGUGGGCAUGCGCCACAGGUGGUACCCGGUGAUGUCGGCCAACGGGCUGUCGGACUGGAGCGAGUGCCCCGAGCUGGGCGUCAUCGGCGACCUGCUCGCGUCCUCCGACUUCGACACGCCCUACUCGGUGCUCAUCAUGAAGCAGCAGGACCAGGGCGGGCUGAACGCCGCCGUGCCGGGCGCCCAGGACGUGUGGCACGGCGACGACGGUGCCGCGGCGCCGACGCCGGACCGGACAAUGACCACCGCCGUGUCUAGCAGAUACCGGCAGUAG
This 2487-nucleotide ribosomal RNA is filed under the name Triticum aestivum (bread wheat). RNAcentral's name for it is "partial small subunit ribosomal RNA". The record is from RNAcentral. Lineage: Eukaryota; Viridiplantae; Streptophyta; Magnoliopsida; Poales; Poaceae.